UUUCUCAGGCUCCCUCUCCGGAAUCGAACCCUAAUUCCCCGUUACCCGUUAACGCCACGGUAGUCCACUACACUACCGUCGAAAGCUGAUAGGGCAGAAAUUUGAAUGAUCUACGCCCAGCACAAGGCUAUGGCGUUCGAAAAGUUACUAUGAUUCAACACAAAGGCGAGCAGAACCCGCAUUGGUUUUUUAUCUAAUAAAUACAUCCCUUCCCGCAAGAGUUGGGACUUUACGCAUGUAUUAGCUCUAGAAUUACUACAGUUAUCCAUGUAGUAAGAAAUCAUCAAAUAAAUUAUUGCUGAUAUAAUGAGCCGUUCGCAGUUUUACAGUAUAAAGUUGUUUAUACUUAGACAUGCAUGGCUUAAUCUUUGAGACAAGCACAUGACUACUGGCAGGAUCAACCAGGUA
This 408-nucleotide ribosomal RNA is filed under the name uncultured eukaryote. RNAcentral describes it as "partial 18S ribosomal RNA". The record is from RNAcentral.